UGGGGAAUAUUGGACAAUGGGCGAAAGCCUGAUCCAGCCAUGCCGCGUGUGUGAAGAAGGUCUUCGGAUUGUAAAGCACUUUAAGUUGGGAGGAAGGGCCAUUACCCAAUACGUGAUGGUUUUGACGUUACCGACAGAAUAAGCACCGGCUAACUCUGUGCCAGCAGCCGCGGUAAUACAGAGGGUGCAAGCGUUAAUCGGAAUUACUGGGCGUAAAGCGCGCGUAGGUGGUUUGUUAAGUUGGAUGUGAAAUCCCCGGGCUCAACCUGGGAACUGCAUUCAAAACUGACUGACUAGAGUAUGGUAGAGGGUGGUGGAAUUUCCUGUGUAGCGGUGAAAUGCGUAGAUAUAGGAAGGAACACCAGUGGCGAAGGCGACCACCUGGACUGAUACUGACACUGAGGUGCGAAAGCGUGGGGAGCAAACAGGAUUAGAUACCCCAGUAGUCCCUGAGCGGGCUGGCAAGGCGCAU
RNAcentral lists this ribosomal RNA (472 nucleotides) under uncultured bacterium. RNAcentral describes it as "bacterial SSU rRNA". It matches the Rfam family "Bacterial small subunit ribosomal RNA", at positions 355 to 825 of the family's 1533-position model. The record is from RNAcentral.